RNAcentral lists this ribosomal RNA (253 nucleotides) under uncultured bacterium. Its description in RNAcentral is "partial 16S ribosomal RNA". It matches the Rfam family "Bacterial small subunit ribosomal RNA", at positions 524 to 776 of the family's 1533-position model. The record is from RNAcentral.
UACGUAGGCAGCGAGCGUUGUUCGGAGUUACUGGGCGUAAAGCGUGCGCAGGCGGUUCGUUGUGUCGGCGGUGAAAGCCCCGGGCUUAACCUGGGAAUGGCCGUUGAAACUGGCGAACUGGAGUGUGGCAGAGGGGGGUGGAAUUCCGCGUGUAGCAGUGAAAUGCGUAGAGAUGUGGAGGAACACCAAUGGCGAAGGCAGCCUUCUGGGCCAACACUGACGCUCAUGCACGAAAGCGUGGGGAGCAAACAGG